GAGCGUUGUCCGGAUUUAUUUGGGCGUAAAGCGAGCGCAGGUGGUUUAUUAAGUCUGGUGUAAAAGGCAGUGGCUCAACCAUUGUAUGCAC
This 91-nucleotide ribosomal RNA is filed under the name Lactococcus lactis. Its description in RNAcentral is "partial 16S ribosomal RNA". The record is from RNAcentral. Lineage: Bacteria; Bacillati; Bacillota; Bacilli; Lactobacillales; Streptococcaceae.